This 822-nucleotide long non-coding RNA is filed under the name Arabidopsis thaliana (thale cress). RNAcentral's name for it is "ncRNA (AT2G13665)". The record is from RNAcentral. Lineage: Eukaryota; Viridiplantae; Streptophyta; Magnoliopsida; Brassicales; Brassicaceae.
AACGACACUCAUCUUGUUCUUGAGAACAAAUAGUUGAAUAUCAUUUUCGUAUUAUAACAUUUAAUGAAAAGAGUUUUCUAUCUCUUCUCUCUUUCAUAUCUUUUACAGAGAGGGAGCUCUGUUUUUCUUUUGUAAUCUCCGUCUUCAAUCAGAGCUUUUUGGUUUGUGUUUUAGAUUUCCUGUUUUGAUGCCGGUUUCUCUUUCCGACUUGUUCGGAUUUACUUUCUUUCUUUCUCUUUUGGUUGCCUUUUGCAGGCUCAAAUUAACUCUUCCAAUUUCGGGAAGAUGAAAAUUCCAGAAGUCAUCAAAUGGAUCCUUGUUCAUUGAGUGCUUGAUUCUUCUCCCAAGUGAAGGUAAUUCCUUGCUCCGCCAAAAGGGCUUGUUUAGAGCAUCGGUUCUCCUUGGUGGAUUGAUCAAGUUGAUGCGGUUGAUUGGGACGGAGUAUGAAGAAUUGGAGUCUUCGUCUUGUUCUGAUGAAUAUUUCGGGCUAAUCGGCUGAGGUUACAAAUUCUCGUGAUCAAGUUUAGGUCCAACCAAUCUCUUCUGGUGAUCUAUGGCAAAAGGCGAGUAGGUACAAUCGAAGGCAGAGAUAGAGGUUUCUUGGAGGACUGAGUUGAUCUGCCGGCUGCUGAUGAAGGAAGUUUCCGGUGAUGAUGAGUCGGUGACGGCGAAACCUUUUUCUUCUCUCAACAUCCCACAUUGCAUAACACGUAUCUCUUUUUUAUUUUUCUUAUCUUGUGUUUUGCAAUUAGUGGGCUAACUUUUGGCCAUCUUCUGUACCGAAUAUCUGCCCAUUUGGGCUUUUAUAAAACAUAUUAGGCC